Molecule: ribosomal RNA, 490 nt
Filed under: uncultured bacterium
Lineage: Bacteria
Description: partial 16S ribosomal RNA
Rfam family: Bacterial small subunit ribosomal RNA
Source: RNAcentral
AUUGAACGCUGGCGGCAGGCCUAACACAUGCAAGUCGAACGGUAACAGGAAACAGCUUGCUGUUUCGCUGACGAGUGGCGGACGGGUGAGUAAUGUCUGGGAAACUGCCUGAUGGAGGGGGAUAACUACUGGAAACGGUAGCUAAUACCGCAUAACGUCGCAAGACCAAAGAGGGGGACCCUCGGGCCUCUUGCCAUCGGAUGUGCCCAGAUGGGAUUAGCUUGUUGGUGGGGUAACGGCUCACCAAGGCGACGAUCCCUAGCUGGUCUGAGAGGAUGACCAGCCACACUGGAACUGAGACACGGUCCAGACUCCUACGGGAGGCAGCAGUGGGGAAUAUUGCACAAUGGGCGCAAGCCUGAUGCAGCCAUGCCGCGUGUAUGAAGAAGGCCUUCGGGUUGUAAAGUACUUUCAUCGGGGAGGAAGGGAGUAAAGUUAAUACCUUUGCUUAUUGACGUUACCCGCAGAAGAAGCACCGGCUAACUCCGUG